This 542-nucleotide ribosomal RNA is filed under the name uncultured bacterium. RNAcentral's name for it is "bacterial SSU rRNA". It matches the Rfam family "Bacterial small subunit ribosomal RNA", at positions 382 to 916 of the family's 1533-position model. The record is from RNAcentral.
CCUGACGCAGCGACGCCGCGUGGAGGAUGAAGGUCUUCGGAUUGUAAACUCCUGUUGCUCGGGACGAAAAGCCUCGACCUAACACGUCGAGGUCUGACGGUACCGAGUGAGGAAGCCCCGGCUAACUCUGUGCCAGCAGCCGCGCUAAUACAGAGGGGGCAAGCGUUGUUCGGAAUUACUGGGCGUAAAGGGCGCGUAGGCGGCCCGCUAAGUCGAACGUGAAAUCCCCGAGCUCAACUCGGGAACUGCGUCCGAUACUGGUGGGCUUGAAUCCGGGAGAGGGAUGCGGAAUUCCAGGUGUAGCGGUGAAAUGCGUAGAUAUCUGGAGGAACACCGGUGGCGAAGGCGGCAUCCUGGACCGGCAUUGACGCUGAGGCGCGAAAGCUAGGGGAGCAAACGGGAUUAGAUACCCCGGUAGUCCUAGCCCUAAACGAUGAAUGCUUGGUGUGGCGGGUAUCGAUCCCUGCCGUGCCGAAGCUAACGCAUUAAGCAUUCCGCCUGGGGAGUACGGUCGCAAGGCUGAAACUCAAAUGAAUUGACGG